GCCAGGUGUGGUGGUGCACGCCUGUAAUCCCAGCAGCUCAGGAGGCUGAGGCAGUAGGAGUGCAAGUUCAAAACCAGUCUCAGCAAUUUAGUGAGGCCCCCCAAGCAAUUUAGCGAGACCCUGUCUCAA
Molecule: small RNA, 129 nt
Filed under: Marmota monax (woodchuck)
Lineage: Eukaryota; Metazoa; Chordata; Mammalia; Rodentia; Sciuridae
Source: RNAcentral